RNAcentral lists this ribosomal RNA (1086 nucleotides) under Salmonella enterica subsp. enterica serovar Kentucky. RNAcentral's name for it is "partial 23S ribosomal RNA". It matches the Rfam family "Bacterial large subunit ribosomal RNA", at positions 567 to 1554 of the family's 2925-position model. Lineage: Bacteria; Pseudomonadati; Pseudomonadota; Gammaproteobacteria; Enterobacterales; Enterobacteriaceae. The record is from RNAcentral.
CAAGCAGUGGGAGCCCCACCACCAAAGCAUUCUCUGGUGUUGAAGGCCCUGCAAAGCAGCAUCGCGGUGGCGGAGCGUCGUUUGCGACGCCCAACACACAAAACAAGCGGUGAGUGCUUUGGGGUGGGGUGACUGCGUACCUUUUGUAUAAUGGGUCAGCGACUUAUAUUCUGUAGCAAGGUUAACCGUAUAGGGGAGCCGAAGGGAAACCGAGUCUUAACUGGGCGUUAAGUUGCAGGGUAUAGACCCGAAACCCGGUGAUCUAGCCAUGGGCAGGUUGAAGGUUGGGUAACACUAACUGGAGGACCGAACCGACUAAUGUUGAAAAAUUAGCGGAUGACUUGUGGCUGGGGGUGAAAGGCCAAUCAAACCGGGAGAUAGCUGGUUCUCCCCGAAAGCUAUUUAGGUAGCGCCUCGUGAACUCAUCUUCGGGGGUAGAGCACUGUUUCGGCUAGGGGGUCAUCCCGACUUACCAACCCGAUGCAAACUGCGAAUACCGAAGAAUGUUAUCACGGGAGACACACGGCGGGUGCUAACGUCCGUCGUGAAGAGGGAAACAACCCAGACCGCCAGCUAAGGUCCCAAAGUCACAGUUAAGUGGGAAACGAUGUGGGAAGGCUCAGACAGCCAGGAUGUUGGCUUAGAAGCAGCCAUCAUUUAAAGAAAGCGUAAUAGCUCACUGGUCGAGUCGGCCUGCGCGGAAGAUGUAACGGGGCUAAACUGUGCACCGAAGCUGCGGCAGCGACGCUUAUGCGUUGUUGGGUAGGGGAGCGUUCUGUAAGCCUGCGAAGGUGUCCUGUGAGGGAUGCUGGAGGUAUCAGAAGUGCGAAUGCUGACAUAAGUAACGAUAAUGCGGGUGAAAAGCCCGCUCGCCGGAAGACCAAGGGUUCCUGUCCAACGUUAAUCGGGGCAGGGUGAGUCGACCCCUAAGGCGAGGCCGAAAGGCGUAGUCGAUGGGAAACGGGUUAAUAUUCCCGUACUUGGUGUUACUGCGAAGGGGGGACGGAGAAGGCUAUGUUGGCCGGGCGACGGUUGUCCCGGUUUAAGCGUGUAGGCUGGUUUUCCAGGCAAAUCCGGAAAAUCAAG